AAUCUACCCCCUCCGUUUCAAAUUACUCGUCGCAGAAAUGGAUGUAUCUUGAACUAAAAUACAUCUAGAUACAUCCAUUUCUGCGACGAGUAAUUCGGAACGGAGGGAGUAUGUA
Molecule: non-coding RNA, 115 nt
Organism: Triticum urartu
Lineage: Eukaryota; Viridiplantae; Streptophyta; Magnoliopsida; Poales; Poaceae
Source: Rfam